AGCGAACGCUGGCGGCAUGCUUAACACAUGCAAGUCGCGCGGGUGGUUUCGGCCAUCAGCGGCGGACGGGUGAGUAUCGCGUAGGAAUGUAUCCCGAGGUGGGGGACAACCCUGGGAAACUGGGGCUAAUACCGCAUGGGGCCUGUGGGUCAAAGCCUUAGGGCGCCUUGGGAGCAGCCUGCGUCCGAUUAGGUAGUUGGUGGGGUAAAGGCCUACCAAGCCUGCGAUCGGUAGCUGGUCUGAGAGGACGAUCAGCCACACUGGGACUGAGGCACGGCCCAGACUCCUACGGGAGGCAGCAGUGGGGAAUAUUGGACAAUGGGCGCAAGCCUGAUCCAGCAAUGCCGCGUGGGUGAAGAAGGUCUUCGGAUUGUAAAGCCCUUUCGGCGGGGACGAUGAUGACGGUACCCGCAGAAGAAGCCCCGGCUAACUUCGUG
This 437-nucleotide ribosomal RNA is filed under the name uncultured bacterium. Its description in RNAcentral is "partial 16S ribosomal RNA". It matches the Rfam family "Bacterial small subunit ribosomal RNA", at positions 28 to 507 of the family's 1533-position model. The record is from RNAcentral.